RNAcentral lists this ribosomal RNA (252 nucleotides) under uncultured bacterium. Its description in RNAcentral is "partial 16S ribosomal RNA". It matches the Rfam family "Bacterial small subunit ribosomal RNA", at positions 524 to 775 of the family's 1533-position model. The record is from RNAcentral.
UACAGAGGGUGCAAGCGUUGUUCGGAAUUAUUGGGCGUAAAGCGCACGUAGGCGGUUCGUUAAGUCGGAUGUGAAAGCCCUCGGCUCAACUGAGGAAGUGCACCCGAAACUGGCGAGCUUGAGUACGAAAGAGGAUCGCGGAAUUCCCGGUGUAGAGGUGAAAUUCGUAGAUAUCGGGAGGAACACCGGUGGCGAAGGCGGCGAUCUGGGUCGAUACUGACGCUGAGGUGCGAAAGCGUGGGGAGCAACAGG